RNAcentral lists this ribosomal RNA (459 nucleotides) under uncultured bacterium. Its description in RNAcentral is "partial 16S ribosomal RNA". It matches the Rfam family "Bacterial small subunit ribosomal RNA", at positions 338 to 795 of the family's 1533-position model. The record is from RNAcentral.
CCUACGGGAGGCAGCAGUGAGGAAUAUUGGUCAAUGGGCGGGAGCCUGAACCAGCCAAGCCGCGUGAGGGAAGAAGGUACAGCGUAUCGUAAACCUCUUUUGUCAGGGAACAAAGGCGGGGACUAGUCCCCGGAUGAGGGUACCUGAAGAAAAAGCAUCGGCUAACUCCGUGCCAGCAGCCGCGGUAAUACGGAGGAUGCGAGCGUUAUCCGGAUUUAUUGGGUUUAAAGGGUGCGCAGGCGGCCUGUAAAGUCAGAGGUAAAAGCCCGGGGCUCAACCGCGGCGAGCCGUUGAAACUGGCGGGCUGGAGUUGGGGAGAGGUGCGCGGAAUGCGCGGUGUAGCGGUGAAAUGCUUAGAUAUCGCGCAGAACCCCGAUUGCGAAGGCAGCGUACCGGCUCCACACUGACGCUGAGGCACGAAAGCGUGGGUAGCGAACAGGAUUAGAUACCCGGGUAGUC